Molecule: non-coding RNA, 22 nt
Filed under: Arabidopsis thaliana (thale cress)
Lineage: Eukaryota; Viridiplantae; Streptophyta; Magnoliopsida; Brassicales; Brassicaceae
Source: RNAcentral
ACCGCACCGUACUUGAUACGAA